CCUGAUCCAGCAACGCCUCGUGGAGGAAGAACGCUUCUUGUUGUAAACUCCUUUUGUGCGGGAUGAGACAAGGACAGUACCGCACGAAUAAGUCACGGCUAACUAGGUGCCCGCAGCCGCGGUAAUACCUAGGUGACAAGCUUUAUCCGGAUUUACUGGGCGUAAAGGGCUCGAAGGCGUGAAUUCAAGUCUGGCGUGAAAUCUCCUGGCUUAACCAAACUGGGUCGUUAGAUACUGUUUUGGUGGAGCAGUGUCCCGGGGUGUGGAAUUCUCGGUGGAGUGGUGAAAUAAAAACAUAUCGGGAAGAACAUCUGUGGCGAACGCGGCACCCCUGGCACUGACCUGACGCUCAUGAGCGAAAGCGUGGGACGCCCGGGGUCUAACCCC
RNAcentral lists this ribosomal RNA (387 nucleotides) under uncultured bacterium. RNAcentral's name for it is "bacterial SSU rRNA". It matches the Rfam family "Bacterial small subunit ribosomal RNA", at positions 382 to 788 of the family's 1533-position model. The record is from RNAcentral.